This 580-nucleotide RNase P RNA is filed under the name Rugosibacter sp. RNAcentral's name for it is "RNase P RNA component class A". It matches the Rfam family "Bacterial RNase P class A". Rfam says of the family: Ribonuclease P (RNase P) is a ubiquitous endoribonuclease, found in archaea, bacteria and eukarya as well as chloroplasts and mitochondria. Its best characterised activity is the generation of mature 5'-ends of tRNAs by cleaving the 5'-leader elements of precursor-tRNAs. Lineage: Bacteria; Pseudomonadati; Pseudomonadota; Betaproteobacteria; Nitrosomonadales; Sterolibacteriaceae. The record is from RNAcentral.
GAAGUUCGCCAGGCAGCCGCUGUGAGCGCAAGCUCAUGGAGGAAAGUCCGGGCCCCGCAGGGCAAGAUGCCGGCUAACGGCCGGGCGCUAUAAGUUGCCAGACGCAAGUCGGGCAAUCCAAGGCGACAGACAGUGCAACAGAAAGAUACCGCCGAUGGCUCGCCCGGACUUUGACGCCGUAAGGCGGCAAAGUCCCCAUGAGUGGGGAAGAAGCUUUGACGCCGUAAGGCGGCAAAGUCUCCAUGAGUAGGGGAAGAUGCUUUGACGCCGCAAGGCGGCAAAGUCCCCUUUAGUGGGCAGGGCGAGACAGGUAAGGGUGAAAUGGUGGCGUGCCGCAAGGCGUGCUGCGGUCGCGCAAGCGAGCGCAGGGUAAGAGCCCACCGCGUUUCCGGUAACGGAAACGGCACGGCAAACCUCAUCUGGGGCAAGGCCAAAUAGGGGAGUAAUGGCGUGGCCCGCGUCGCUCCCGGGUAGGCUGCUAAUGACUAUCGGCGACGGUAGUCGACGAGGCUGGCGGUAACGUCAGUCCCAGAGGAAUGGCUGCCCACGACAGAACCCGGCUUAUCGGCGGACUUCCCAC